AAUAAUAAUAAUAAUAAUAAUGAACUGCACACGUCAUAAGACACUGAGAAGAGAGAUGUGAGAGCAAGUGAGCAACAAUCAUACAAAGUACAAACAAAUGCUUUAUUUGAUAUAUUUACAGCUUUGCCACUGAAAUGGAUUUUAACCCCUUUUUUUCGAAAAAAGUAAAUUUUAAACGACAAUUUUAGCCUUUGUAACUGUCAUAUAAUUAUAUUUUUAAAUAUUUUGGGAAAUAAAAAAUUUGCUAUAAAUAACAACCACAAUCCCAUUUUCUAACCACACCAAAAAGUUUUUGAAUUUCUUCAAUUUUCCCAUAGUCUCAAGUCUCAAGCUCUCAAUUAUCUUCUUGCAUUUUUCAAAAUAUUUUCAGUUCUCAUUGUUUUUAUAUUCUCUAAAUACCUAAAUUAUUUAUAUUUUCAGUCAAUAUUUCAUCCACUUUUCAAUUUUUCACAACGAACUUGUGCGUGCGUGUGUGUGUGUGU
This 482-nucleotide unclassified non-coding RNA is filed under the name Hevea brasiliensis (rubber tree). The record is from RNAcentral. Lineage: Eukaryota; Viridiplantae; Streptophyta; Magnoliopsida; Malpighiales; Euphorbiaceae.